This 434-nucleotide ribosomal RNA is filed under the name uncultured bacterium. RNAcentral describes it as "bacterial SSU rRNA". It matches the Rfam family "Bacterial small subunit ribosomal RNA", at positions 354 to 796 of the family's 1533-position model. The record is from RNAcentral.
GUCGAGAAUCUUUCACAAUGGGGGAAACCCUGAUGGAGCGACGCCGCGUGGAGGAUAAGGUCUUCGGAUUGUAAACUCCUGUCAUGCGAGAACAAAGCCUCACGGCCUGAUAGUAUCGCAAGAGGAAGAGACGGCUAACUCUGUGCCAGCAGCCGCGGUAAUACAGAGGUCUCAAGCGUUGUUCGGAAUCACUGGGCGUAAAGGGUGCGUAGGCGGCGGGGAAAGUCAGAUGUGAAAUCCGGAGGCUCAACCUCCGAAUUGCAUCCGAUACUCCCUCGCUAGAGAGUUGUAGGGGAGCUUGGAAUUCUCGGUGUAGCAGUGAAAUGCGUAGAUAUCGAGAAGAACGCUCGCAGCGAAGGCGAAGCUCUGGGCAACAUCUGACGCUGAUGCACGAAGGCUGGGGGAGCAAACGGGAUUAGAUACCCCGGUAGUCC